ACGGGUGAGUAACGCGUGAGUAACCUGCCUUCAAGAGGGGGAUAACAUUCUGAAAAGAAUGCUAAUACCGCAUGACAUAUCGGAACCACAUGGUUUUGAUAUCAAAGAUUUUAUCGCUUGAAGAUGGACUCGCGUCCGAUUAGUUAGUUGGUGGGGUAACGGCUCACCAAGACCGCGAUCGGUAGCCGGACUGAGAGGUUGAACGGCCACAUUGGGACUGAGACACGGCCCAGACUCCUACGGGAGGCAGCAUG
Molecule: ribosomal RNA, 254 nt
Filed under: uncultured bacterium
Lineage: Bacteria
Description: partial 16S ribosomal RNA
Rfam family: Bacterial small subunit ribosomal RNA
Source: RNAcentral